Molecule: transfer RNA, 86 nt
Filed under: Planctomycetota bacterium
Lineage: Bacteria; Pseudomonadati; Planctomycetota
Description: tRNA-Leu
Rfam family: tRNA
About the family: Transfer RNA (tRNA) molecules are approximately 80 nucleotides in length. Their secondary structure includes four short double-helical elements and three loops (D, anti-codon, and T loops). Further hydrogen bonds mediate the characteristic L-shaped molecular structure. tRNAs have two regions of fundamental functional importance: the anti-codon, which is responsible for specific mRNA codon recognition, and the 3' end, to which the tRNAs corresponding amino acid is attached (by aminoacyl-tRNA synthetases). tRNAs cope with the degeneracy of the genetic code in two manners: having more than one tRNA (with a specific anti-codon) for a particular amino acid; and 'wobble' base-pairing, i.e. permitting non-standard base-pairing at the 3rd anti-codon position.
Source: RNAcentral
GCGGAAGUGGCGGAACUGGCAGACGCGCAGGAUUUAGGUUCCUGUGCCUUCUCGGCGUGGGGGUUCGAGUCCCCCCUUCCGCACCA